CCACUGUGCAAGAAUAUGCGGCACAUAUCCCUACAUCAGUGUGGCUAGAAGUCCUUCUCAGUGGUGGUGACGCCGUCUCACAAAGCAGAAGAGGUUAGCUGCUGAAAAGGGACCUGGAAUAUCAUUACCCCAGAGACUCCACUUUCGCUUUAAGUACAACCGGGAGGCAAAGUGUAAAGACGAAUCUCCUCUCCCAGCAAUGAAAAACUCAGGUACAGUAAACAUUUUCAUUACUUUUCAC
Scleropages formosus (Asian bonytongue) is the source of this 241-nucleotide long non-coding RNA. The record is from Ensembl. Lineage: Eukaryota; Metazoa; Chordata; Actinopteri; Osteoglossiformes; Osteoglossidae.